RNAcentral lists this ribosomal RNA (497 nucleotides) under uncultured bacterium. Its description in RNAcentral is "partial 16S ribosomal RNA". It matches the Rfam family "Bacterial small subunit ribosomal RNA", at positions 28 to 507 of the family's 1533-position model. The record is from RNAcentral.
GAUGAACGCUGGCGGCGUGCCUAAUACAUGCAAGUCGAGCGAACAGACGAGGAGCUUGCUCCUCUGACGUUAGCGGCGGACGGGUGAGUAACACGUGGAUAACCUACCUAUAAGACUGGGAUAACUUCGGGAAACCGGAGCUAAUACCGGAUAAUAUAUUGAACCGCAUGGUUCAAUAGUGAAAGACGGUUUUGCUGUCACUUAUAGAUGGAUCCGCGCCGCAUUAGCUAGUUGGUAAGGUAACGGCUUACCAAGGCGGCGAUGCGUAGCCGACCUGAGAGGGUGAUCGGCCACACUGGAAGUGAGACACGGUCCAGACUCCUACGGGAGGCAGCAGUAGGGAAUCUUCCGCAAUGGGCGAAAGCCUGACGGAGCAACGCCGCGUGAGUGAUGAAGGUCUUCGGAUCGUAAAACUCUGUUAUUAGGGAAGAACAAAUGUGUAAGUAACUAUGCACGUCUUGACGGUACCUAAUCAGAAAGCCACGGCUAACUACGUG